This 497-nucleotide ribosomal RNA is filed under the name uncultured bacterium. Its description in RNAcentral is "partial 16S ribosomal RNA". It matches the Rfam family "Bacterial small subunit ribosomal RNA", at positions 28 to 507 of the family's 1533-position model. The record is from RNAcentral.
GAUGAACGCUGGCGGCGUGCCUAAUACAUGCAAGUCGAGCGAACAGACGAGGGGCUUGCUCCUCUGACGUUAGCGGCGGACGGGUGAGUAACACGUGGAUAACCUACCUAUAAGACUGGGAUAACUUCGGGAAACCGGAGCUAAUACCGGAUAAUAUAUUGAACCGCAUGGUUCAAUAGUGAAAGACGGUUUUGCUGUCACUUAUAGAUGGAUCCGCGCCGCAUUAGCUAGUUGGUAAGGUAACGGCUUACCAAGGCAACGAUGCGUAGCCGACCUGAGAGGGUGAUCGGCCACACUGGAACUGAGACACGGUCCAGACUCCUACGGGAGGCAGCAGUAGGGAAUCUUACGCAAUGGGCGAAAGCCUGACGGAGCAACGCCGCGUGAAUGAUGAAGGUCUUCGGAUCGUAAAACUCUGUUAUUAGGGAAGAACAAAUGUGUAAGUAACUAUGCACGUCUUGACGGUACCUAAUCAGAAAGCCACGGCUAACUACGUG